RNAcentral lists this ribosomal RNA (253 nucleotides) under uncultured Eubacteriales bacterium. RNAcentral's name for it is "uncultured Clostridiales bacterium partial 16S ribosomal RNA". It matches the Rfam family "Bacterial small subunit ribosomal RNA", at positions 524 to 776 of the family's 1533-position model. The record is from RNAcentral. Lineage: Bacteria; Bacillati; Bacillota; Clostridia; Eubacteriales.
UACGGAGGAUCCGAGCGUUAUCCGGAUUUACUGGGUGUAAAGGGAGCGUAGACGGCCAUGCAAGCUCGGUGUGAAAGGUGCGGGCACAACCCGCAGACUGCACUGAGAACUGUAUGGCUGGAGUGCCGGAGGGGCAGGCGGAAUUCCUGGUGUAGCGGUGAAAUGCGUAGAUAUCACGCAGAACGCCGAUUGCGAAGGCAGCUUACCGGCGCUCAACUGACGCUGAGGCACGAAAGUGCGGGUAUCGAACAGG